This 500-nucleotide long non-coding RNA is filed under the name Scleropages formosus (Asian bonytongue). RNAcentral's name for it is "lncRNA (ENSSFOG00015025419.1)". Lineage: Eukaryota; Metazoa; Chordata; Actinopteri; Osteoglossiformes; Osteoglossidae. The record is from RNAcentral.
GCAGAAGCGAGGCUGCUCGCGAGUUGGAGGUGCGCGCGGAUGCGGGCUGUCAGCGCGAGCGGUGGCUGACGCCGUUGAGAAGCACGAACCCUGGGCGCCGAAGAUUUGAGGAGGCGGCCUUGUUAAGUACAGCAUAAGUCGUCCUAUUUCCGAAAGAACUGAAGAAAAAGGAAGAAGAUGGACUUCUUCAUGCUUCAGCCCUUCUCUUAUCCACCUGCUACUUCCUGAGAUCUGUUUCUGCCAUGAUUUUGGAAAGCAACCUUAGUCUUUGUAAACAAGUCCACCAUUCAAAACCCAAUGGAAAUACAGGUUACCUGUGAGAAGUAGAAGAAAAUCCAAACUGCAGGAAAGGGUGAGCUGGCUCUUGAUUACUUAUGGUCACCAUUUUGCUCUUCUGAAAUGUAUAGUAAUCUCAUCGAGUUUGCAACCUGAGCAGAACUGACCCUGUACGAAUCCUACCUUUUCCCUGCUUUGAGUAAGGAUUUUAUCUACCUUAUGGU